Molecule: ribosomal RNA, 460 nt
Filed under: uncultured bacterium
Lineage: Bacteria
Description: partial 16S ribosomal RNA
Rfam family: Bacterial small subunit ribosomal RNA
Source: RNAcentral
CCUACGGGUGGCAGCAGUGAGGAAUAUUGGUCAAUGGGUGGAAGCCUGAACCAGCCAAGUAGCGUGCGGGAUGAAGGCCCUACGGGUCGUAAACCGCUUUUGCACGGGGAUAACACCCUCCACUUGUGGAGGUCUGCAGGUACCGUGCGAAUAAGGGCCGGCUAAUUCCGUGCCAGCAGCCGCGGUAAUACGGAAGGCCCGAGCGUUAUCCGGAUUCAUUGGGCUUAAAGGGAGCGUAGGCGGGCGUUCAAGUCAGAUGUGAAAACCAUGGGCUCAACCUGUGGCCUGCAUUUGAAACUGUUUUUCUUGAGUACUGGAGAGGCAGACGGAAUUCCUAGUGUAGCGGUGAAAUGCGUAGAUAUUAGGAGGAACACCAGUGGCGAAGGCGGUCUGCUGGACAGCAACUGACGCUGAGGCGCGAAAGCGUGGGGAGCAAACAGGAUUAGAUACCCCAGUAGUC